GGUCCCCGUAUUUUUUUAAUUAAGCAAUGUGAUGUUGUAGUGUUUACUGGGUUUACGGGGUUUAGGGUGUAUUAGGCUUUGGAUUAGUAUUCAAAUUCUCGGCGCUAGAGAGAAUUGCAUGAUAGUGUUUUGUACUUGAUUUGUGCAAGUUAUGGAAGCUCAAAAAAGGGGAUCAGCGAAAGGAAAGCGCAAGGUCGAGAGUACUGUGCAACAAACAAGAGUUGGCCGAGAUGCAUUUUUUAAUUUCAUGAAAAAAGAACGACAUGAAAUGGGGAAAGUGGCCAAUGCAAAGUUGGACCAUAAGGUACAAGAAGAGAUUAGUAAUAAGUGGAGGAAAUUGAACACU
Long non-coding RNA from Prunus dulcis (almond), 346 nucleotides. RefSeq lists it as uncharacterized. NCBI's taxonomy places the organism in Eukaryota, Viridiplantae, Streptophyta, Magnoliopsida, Rosales, Rosaceae. The record is from RefSeq and is a predicted model, not a curated record. The transcript has 3 exons.